RNAcentral lists this transfer RNA (80 nucleotides) under uncultured Selenomonas sp. It matches the Rfam family "tRNA", at positions 5 to 66 of the family's 71-position model. From Rfam's summary of the family: Transfer RNA (tRNA) molecules are approximately 80 nucleotides in length. Their secondary structure includes four short double-helical elements and three loops (D, anti-codon, and T loops). The record is from RNAcentral. Lineage: Bacteria; Bacillati; Bacillota; Negativicutes; Selenomonadales; Selenomonadaceae.
GAGGGAUGGCCGAAAGGUUAAGGCGCCGGUUUGAUAAGCCGGUUGGUGAUUUGUCGCCUUGAGGGUUCGAAUCCCUCUCC